Molecule: long non-coding RNA, 269 nt
Organism: Xyrauchen texanus (razorback sucker)
Lineage: Eukaryota; Metazoa; Chordata; Actinopteri; Cypriniformes; Catostomidae
Exons: 3
Source: RefSeq, a predicted model, not a curated record
UCAGAAGGUUGCUGGUUCGAUCCCCACAGUCACCACCAUUGUGUCCUUGAGUAAGACACUUAACUCCAGGUUGCUCCGGGGGAUUGUCCCUGUAAUAAGUGCUCUGUAUAAUACAUUGGUACUCAGAAGGUUGCUGGUUCGAUCCCCACAGUCACCACCAUUGUGUCCUUGAGUAAGACACUUAACUCCAGGUUGCUCCAGGGGGAUUGUCCCUGUAAUAAGUGCACUGUAAGUCGCUUUGGAUAAAAGCGUCUGCCAAAUGCAUAAAU